This 253-nucleotide unclassified non-coding RNA is filed under the name uncultured Paracoccaceae bacterium. RNAcentral's name for it is "uncultured Rhodobacteraceae bacterium contains 16S-23S intergenic spacer region". It matches the Rfam family "Bacterial small subunit ribosomal RNA", at positions 524 to 776 of the family's 1533-position model. The record is from RNAcentral. Lineage: Bacteria; Pseudomonadati; Pseudomonadota; Alphaproteobacteria; Rhodobacterales; Paracoccaceae.
UACGGAGGGGGUUAGCGUUGUUCGGAAUUACUGGGCGUAAAGCGUACGUAGGCGGAUCAGAAAGUUGGGGGUGAAAUCCCGGGGCUCAACCCCGGAACUGCCUCCAAAACUCCUGGUCUUGAGUUCGAGAGAGGUGAGUGGAAUUCCAAGUGUAGAGGUGAAAUUCGUAGAUAUUUGGAGGAACACCAGUGGCGAAGGCGGCUCACUGGCUCGCAACUGACGCUGUGGUGCGAAAGCGUGGGGAGCAAACAGG